CGGACGGGUGAGUAACACGUGGGCAACCUGCCUGUAAGACUGGGAUAACUCCGGGAAACCGGAGCUAAUACCGGAUACUAUGUCAAACCGCAUGGUUUGACAUUCAAAGACGGUUUCGGCUGUCACUUACAGAUGGGCCCGCGGCGCAUUAGCUAGUUGGUGAGGUAAUGGCUCACCAAGGCGACGAUGCGUAGCCGACCUGAGAGGGUGAUCGGCCACACUGGGACUGAGACACGGCCCAGACUCCUACGGGAGGCAGCAGUAGGGAAUCUUCCGCAAUGGACGAAAGUCUGACGGAGCAACGCCGCGUGAGUGAUGAAGGUUUUCGGAUCGUAAAACUCUGUUGUCAGGGAAGAACAAGUGCCGGAGUAACUGCCGGCGCCUUGACGGUACCUGACCAGAAAGCCACGGCUAACUACGUGCCAGCAGCCGCGGUAAUACGUAGGUGGCAAGCGUUGUCCGGAAUUAUUGGGCGUAAAGCGCGCGCAGGCGGUUUCUUAAGUCUGAUGUGAAAGCCCCCGGCUCAACCGGGGAGGGUCAUUGGAAACUGGGAAACUUGAGUGCAGAAGAGGAGAGUGGAAUUCCACGUGUAGCGGUGAAAUGCGUAGAGAUGUGGAGGAACACCAGUGGCGAAGGCGACUCUCUGGUCUGUAACUGACGCUGAGGCGCGAAAGCGUGGGGAGCGAACAGGAUUAGAUACCCUGGUAGUCCACGCCGUAAACGAUGAGUGCUAAGUGUUAGAGGGUUUCCG
This 751-nucleotide ribosomal RNA is filed under the name Metabacillus indicus. RNAcentral describes it as "bacterial SSU rRNA". It matches the Rfam family "Bacterial small subunit ribosomal RNA", at positions 99 to 836 of the family's 1533-position model. The record is from RNAcentral. Lineage: Bacteria; Bacillati; Bacillota; Bacilli; Caryophanales; Bacillaceae.